Long non-coding RNA from Arachis ipaensis, 1145 nucleotides. RefSeq lists it as uncharacterized. The record is from RefSeq and is a predicted model, not a curated record. Lineage: Eukaryota; Viridiplantae; Streptophyta; Magnoliopsida; Fabales; Fabaceae.
CAUACAUUAUUUUUCAGUUAUAACUUGUUGAUUCCUUGAGUGAGGAUUUCUCAAUCCAUUUAAAGAACUUAUGAAUCAGUAUGUGCGUUCAAAUUGGUUGCGUGCUUAUGGUUUCAAAUAGAAAUGAUUGAUAUUUAACUCUCUACUUCUUUUAGUGCAACCUUGAAAUACUAGGCAAUACAUUAUGAAGCAAAAACCAUAGCAUCUCUACUAAUGCAAUGUACACACCAAAUGGUAGAUUCUCACCAAGCCAAAUAGUUAAACAAACACAACAAACCGAAAAAAUAGUAUAGGCCUUCAAAGAAAUGACCCUAUUCAGGCUAUUGAGUUUCUUUACCUUGGAGGUAUGAACUCGUACCCGGAUUUCCCAAGGACGCGCUGCAACCCAACGCUCCGUCCAGCUCCAACCCCAGCUUUCCUUACCGAGACUAUAGGAAGCCUGACCGAAAUAUUGGCUACAGUUUGGCCUCCACUGCAAUAAUUAAGGCAUGCUUUUAGAAAUGUUUCUGUUACAUCUCUUCUAUGUGCUAAAUCAGUGUUUAGGUGUGAAAAAAUGUGGUGGAAUUCUUUGUAACAAUUGGUAUGUGAUGUGCUGCAAGUUGAUCAAGGUUUGUACCUGAUGAGAGAAGGCAUAUGCCAUGGCUCGCUCGCGUUUAAUUGCGGCUUCUUCUCUCUGAUAUAACCUUGAAAUUAUCUCUUCCAUUGUUUCUGAACCGCCGCACCAUUCCACCUAGCAUGCAUUUUACCAAACAGCAUUACAAGAAACAGAGAGAAGUGAUGGCUGCUAUUUUGAUAACCCCAUCAAAAUCGACAGAAACCAAGUCAUUGCGAGAAGAUGGUUGAAACAAUGUGUACCUCUAGCUGAUGAAUCUUAGCUUCGAGUUUUAGCUGGCUUUCCAAUCUCCGUUGCUUAACACGAGCUUCUGUUAUCAUACAGAUUCUGCGAGCUUUAAUCUCGUCUUGUAUUCUGCUCCAUGAAUGUAUAUAGCUUAAUGCAGUUGCUGUUUGCUCUCUGGCCAGGUGAUCUUGAAUCAAAGCUUCAAAUUUCUCUGCUCCCUUUAGAUGGUUUAAUGUUCUUCUUGCCUGCAUAGUAUGCGAGAAGGGGUAUCAUUUAAUGUUCUUAGAGAAAUAUUUGGUGUACUCAU